This is a long non-coding RNA of Bradysia coprophila, 187 nucleotides long. The record is from RefSeq and is a predicted model, not a curated record. NCBI's taxonomy places the organism in Eukaryota, Metazoa, Arthropoda, Insecta, Diptera, Sciaridae.
GCUUUCAAUUUCUUCCAUGAACUGUUUGAAAUUGAUCUCAACGGAAUCGGAAAUAACAAGAAAAAAAAUCGAUUGACAUUAUAAUCAUCGGGUGGCAGUUUUUGAGUAGAUCCAGUUCAUUCGAUUCAGCAUUAACAUUUCGUCAGAGUCAUAAGAAGAACUAAAUUUUCCGACAAAAAUUUAUCUA